GCCAGGUGUGGUGGUGCACACCUGUAAUCCCAGCUACUCCGGAGGCUGAGGCAGAAGAAUCGCUUGAAUCCAGGAGGCAGAUGUUGCAGUGAGCUGAGAUUGCACCACUGCACUCCAGCCUGGGUGACAGAGCAAGACUCUGUCUCAA
Unclassified non-coding RNA from Pongo abelii (Sumatran orangutan), 148 nucleotides. It matches the Rfam family "Metazoan signal recognition particle RNA". Rfam says of the family: The signal recognition particle (SRP) is a universally conserved ribonucleoprotein. It is involved in the co-translational targeting of proteins to membranes. The eukaryotic SRP consists of a 300-nucleotide 7S RNA and six proteins: SRPs 72, 68, 54, 19, 14, and 9. The record is from Ensembl. Lineage: Eukaryota; Metazoa; Chordata; Mammalia; Primates; Hominidae.